CCUACGGGUGGCAGCAGUAGGGAAUAUUGCACAAUGGGCGAAAGCCUGACGGAGCAACGCCGCGUGAAGGAUGAAGGCCUUCGGGUUGUAAACUGCUUUUAUAAGCGAGGAAUAUGAUGGUAACUAAUGAAUAAGGAUCGGACAACAACGUGCAAGCAGCCACGGGCAUACGUAGGAUCCGCGCAUUAUCCUGGGUGACUGGGGGUAAAGAGUUGCGGAAGUGGGAUAAUAAGAUGCUAGUGAAAUCGGCUGGCUAAACCAUUCAGACUAUUAGCUAAACUGUUAAGCUCGAGACGGUGAGGGGUAACUGGAAUUUCUAGUGUAGGAGUGAAAUCCGUAGAUAUUAGAAGGAACACCAAUAGCGAAGGCAGGUAACUGGGACGGUUCUGACACUAAGGCACGAAAGCGUAGGGAGCAAACGGGAUUAGAUACCCCUGUAGUC
RNAcentral lists this ribosomal RNA (442 nucleotides) under uncultured bacterium. RNAcentral's name for it is "partial 16S ribosomal RNA". It matches the Rfam family "Bacterial small subunit ribosomal RNA", at positions 338 to 795 of the family's 1533-position model. The record is from RNAcentral.